This is a non-coding RNA of Biomphalaria pfeifferi, 409 nucleotides long. Lineage: Eukaryota; Metazoa; Mollusca; Gastropoda; Planorbidae. The record is from the annotation of a GenBank genome assembly.
CACUGUUUUCUCAUAAAAAGACCUUUUAAACUGAUAUGUGACAAAUUCAGGUGUUGAGAUGAGACAAUGUGUGUGUAUACUUGUAUACACAUGUGGUAUUAGUGAAAUUGUCUUUAUUCAUAAAAAUAACACUUAGCCCUGUGAUGCUGUUUAUUCCUUGGCAUGCAUUAGAACACCCUGAUCUUGCUAACACUAUGUUACACGUACAGUUAAAAAGAUUGGGAUUUGUUUAGUGUACCCGGUACUGUACAACAGAUUUCAUUCAGAUAACUAAUGCUUAUAAUGAUCAUAUAAAUGUUGAUUGUUUUAUUUAUAUUGUAUAUCUACAAGCCAAACAAAGCAUGCACUUUGUUUACUAAGUGAAAGAAAUAAACAAAACCUUUGCUGAUAUGAAGCGAAACUGCAGUUU